RNAcentral lists this small nucleolar RNA (111 nucleotides) under Trypanosoma cruzi. Its description in RNAcentral is "C/D small nucleolar RNA (snoRNA)". Lineage: Eukaryota; Euglenozoa; Kinetoplastea; Trypanosomatida; Trypanosomatidae. The record is from RNAcentral.
UCAGACAACGCGCGAGCAGCGCCCACCACUGGGGUAGUGCGUGCCCGCGCCAGCUUGUACCGUCAUGGUCGGUGUCAGAUUUUACCCUACGAAGUACAGCGUCGCAUCACA